Molecule: ribosomal RNA, 325 nt
Filed under: uncultured bacterium
Lineage: Bacteria
Description: bacterial SSU rRNA
Rfam family: Bacterial small subunit ribosomal RNA
Source: RNAcentral
GACGAACGCUGGCGGCGUGCUUAACACAUGCAAGUCGAGCGGUAAGGCCCUUUCGGGGGUACACGAGCGGCGAACGGGUGAGUAACACGUGGGUGACCUGCCUUUAGCUCUGGGAUAAGCCUGGGGAAACUGGGUCUAAUACCGGAUAUGACCCUAUGGCGCAUGUUGUGGGGUGGAAAGCCUUGUGCGGCUAGGGAUGGGCCCGCGGCCUAUCAGCUUGUUGGUGGGUGAUGGCCUACCAAGGCGACGACGGGUAGCCGGCCUGAGAGGGCGACCGGCCACACUGGGACUGAGACACGGCCCAGGACUCCUACGGGAGGCAGCA